GAGGAAUUAGCUUAAAGGUAAAGUACUUAUUUAAUCUAUCUCACAAAUAGAUGAAAAUAAGGGACAGUGUUCGAUUCACUUAUUUCUCA
RNAcentral lists this transfer RNA (89 nucleotides) under Coniothyrium glycines. RNAcentral describes it as "tRNA-Ile". It matches the Rfam family "tRNA". Rfam says of the family: Transfer RNA (tRNA) molecules are approximately 80 nucleotides in length. The record is from RNAcentral. Lineage: Eukaryota; Fungi; Ascomycota; Dothideomycetes; Pleosporales; Coniothyriaceae.